AACUUGUGGCAACGUAUCGCUUGGCUCUCGCAUCGAUUAAGAACGCAGCGAAAUGCGAUAAGUAAUGUGAAUUGCAGAUUUUCAGUGAAUCAUCGAAUCUUUGAACGCACCUUGCGCCCCUUGGUAUUCCGAGGGGCAUGCCUGUUUGAGUGUCAUUAAAUUCUCAACUCUGAUUUGAUUUGUUUCUUAUCGGGGCUUGGACUUGGAGUGUGCUGGCAAUCUGGUCGGCUCCUCUCAAAUGCAUCAGCGGAAUCUAACCUUUGAUUUCCGGAAGUCGGUGUGAUAAUUAAGUUGCGCCGUCAUUCGACUUUGAAGUCCGCUUAUAAUGGUCUUCGGACAACUCUUAUAAAAUUUGACCUCAAAUCAGGUAGGACUACCCGCUGAACUUAAGCAUAUCAAUAAGCGGAGGCU
This 411-nucleotide unclassified non-coding RNA is filed under the name uncultured Piloderma. Its description in RNAcentral is "sequence contains ITS2". The stretch from base 1 to 155 matches the Rfam family "5.8S ribosomal RNA". The record is from RNAcentral. Lineage: Eukaryota; Fungi; Basidiomycota; Agaricomycetes; Atheliales; Atheliaceae.